UAGGGGUAAAUUCAGUAAAAAAUCUCCCAUUAACUUCAAUGUAAACCUACAUGUUCAAUUAAAUUCAUAACUUUUUUACCUUUACAAAUUAGAAGCUUUCAUAUUUCAUUCAUUAAAGUACAAAUAUAGCCCCAUUUUUUGCAACCAUCAAAACAUAGGGUCAUGCGGCAUUUUCGGGCCUUCCACAUGGCUUUGUUUACAAACACUGUAGUUUCGCACUUAAUUCCUACAAUGACCCCAUCACUUUUCAAUCCUGUUUUUAAAAAAAAUAAAUGCAUUCAGCAUUAUUUAAUUAUUUUUUUUAACCUCAGAUUUGAUCCAUCUAAUGAAAAAAAUAUUAUUGAAAACUUUAUCUACCAAUCAUUGCAGCACAGGUCUUCAAUUCUAUACUGAAAGCUCUCCCCUAAAUGGGCGGUCCCUGAUGACGUAUAUUUAUUUACUGA
RNAcentral lists this long non-coding RNA (443 nucleotides) under Mytilus galloprovincialis (Mediterranean mussel). The record is from RNAcentral. Lineage: Eukaryota; Metazoa; Mollusca; Bivalvia; Mytilida; Mytilidae.